This 562-nucleotide ribosomal RNA is filed under the name Rhodotorula babjevae. Its description in RNAcentral is "partial large subunit ribosomal RNA". It matches the Rfam family "Eukaryotic large subunit ribosomal RNA", at positions 35 to 601 of the family's 3401-position model. Lineage: Eukaryota; Fungi; Basidiomycota; Microbotryomycetes; Sporidiobolales; Sporidiobolaceae. The record is from RNAcentral.
UUGGCAUAUCAAUAAGCGGAGGAAAAGAAACUAACAAGGAUUCCCCUAGUAGCGGCGAGCGAAGCGGGAAGAGCUCAAAUUUAUAAUCUGGCACCUUCGGUGUCCGAGUUGUAAUCUCUAGAAGUGUUUUCCGCGUUGGACCGCACACAAGUCUGUUGGAAUACAGCGGCAUAGUGGUGAAACCCCCGUAUAUGGUGCGGACGCCCAGCGCUUUGUGAUACACUUUCAAUGAGUCGAGUUGUUUGGGAAUGCAGCUCAAAUUGGGUGGUAAAUUCCAUCUAAAGCUAAAUAUUGGCGAGAGACCGAUAGCGAACAAGUACCGUGAGGGAAAGAUGAAAAGCACUUUGGAAAGAGAGUUAACAGUACGUGAAAUUGUUGGAAGGGAAACGCUUGAAGUCAGACUUGCUUGCCGGAGCUUGCUUCGGUUUGCAGGCCAGCAUCAGUUUUCCGGGGUGGAUAAUGACGGUUUGAAGGUAGCAGUCUCGGCUGUGUUAUAGCUUUCCGUUGGAUACAUCCUGGGGGACUGAGGAACGCAGCGUGCUUUUUGCGAAAGACUCGUCUU